UACGUAGGGGGCAAGCGUUAUCCGGAUUUACUGGGUGUAAAGGGAGCGUAGACGGCAGGGCAAGUCUGGAGUGAAAGGCAGGGGCCCAACCCCUGGACUGCUCUGGAAACUGUCCGGCUGGAGUGCAGGAGAGGUAAGUGGAACUCCAUGUGUAGCGGUGGAAUGCGUAGAUAUAUGGAAGAACACCAGUGGCGAAGGCGGCUCUCUGGUCUGCAACUGACGCUGAGGCUCGAAAGCAUGGGUAGCGAACAGG
RNAcentral lists this ribosomal RNA (253 nucleotides) under uncultured bacterium. Its description in RNAcentral is "partial 16S ribosomal RNA". It matches the Rfam family "Bacterial small subunit ribosomal RNA", at positions 524 to 776 of the family's 1533-position model. The record is from RNAcentral.